This is a long non-coding RNA of Chinchilla lanigera (long-tailed chinchilla), 868 nucleotides long. RefSeq lists it as uncharacterized. The record is from RefSeq and is a predicted model, not a curated record. The transcript has 2 exons. NCBI's taxonomy places the organism in Eukaryota, Metazoa, Chordata, Mammalia, Rodentia, Chinchillidae.
CGCAUCUUAGACUCAUAGUGCGUUGAGAAGACGCUAGAUUCAAAAGGUUCCCCACUCACUGCAUUUAAUAAUAUUCUAGGAAAAAAACCACCAUUGGGCCUGCAGAGGGGGAGAGGUUGACAAUUUAAGGAGCUGGAACAUUUGGAGGCCGCUCUGCCUUGAUCAUUGUGGAAGAAUCUGUGUUCCAAAGUAGUCGCACCAUGUCGCAUCCCCUCCAGCUGAGGUAUGAGGCUGCCACUGGCUUCACACCCCCGGCAGCACCCCCUCCACACCACACGGCUACUAGCUGGACGCCUCAGCUCUUUGCGACAUGGGUCUCUCCACGGCACAUCCCACGCCUCCCUGAGAGCAGACCAAAGGCUAGAGGACGCCAAAAAGAGAAGCUGCAGCCUUUUUGUAACCUGCCUUGCAGUGACAUUCCUGCAAUUUGUGUUCUUAUUAGAAGGAGUUGGUCACAAGACCCUGCCCACUUUCAAGGGGAGGAGAUCACACAGCUGUGCGAGUAGCAGGGGCCGGAGAUCACUGGGGCCAUGUCAGAAGGCUGCCACGGUACCCUUCCAGUUGGUCAUCUGCUGCUUUUCUCAGGUAUUAGGCGGUGAGUCUUUACUUGUGAAACUUGAUGCAGAUGCAGGGGUCCCAUUCUCAGGUUCUCGAUCUCCUUGGGUCAGGAUCUCUGUGGGUAGCAGUGCACCUCUGUGUAUUCCUCUCUUUCUGGGACCCCAUGGGUCUUCCUAGUGCGGGCCGUGUCAGGAAUCACUAGGUAGGUGGGUAUUUCCCUGUAUGAAUGACAGCUGCAAAUACUGCUUACAAGUUUGUUUUUUUUUCCUUCAAAUAAUAUCAAAAAUAAAUGUGUCCCAGUUCCUAGGUC